Molecule: ribosomal RNA, 589 nt
Filed under: uncultured Gammaproteobacteria bacterium
Lineage: Bacteria; Pseudomonadati; Pseudomonadota; Gammaproteobacteria
Description: bacterial SSU rRNA
Rfam family: Bacterial small subunit ribosomal RNA
Source: RNAcentral
GCGGCGGACGGGUGAGUAACGCGUAGGAAUCUACCUAUUGGUGGGGGAUAGCCCAGGGAAACUUGGAUUAAUACCGCAUAAGCUCUUAGGAGGAAAGCGGGGGAUCUUCGGACCUCGUGCCAAUAGAUGAGCCUGCGUAAGAUUAGCUAGAUGGUGGGGUAAUGGCCUACCAUGGCGACGAUCUUUAGCUGGUCUGAGAGGAUGAUCAGCCACACUGGGACUGAGACACGGCCCAGACUCCUACGGGAGGCAGCAGUGGGGAAUAUUGCACAAUGGGCGCAAGCCUGAUGCAGCCAUGCCGCGUGUGUGAAGAAGGCCUUAGGGUUGUAAAGCACUUUCAGUGGGGAGGAAAGGUUAUAAGUUAAUACCUUAUAGCUGUGACGUUACCCACAGAAGAAGGACCGGCUAAUUCCGUGCCAGCAGCCGCGGUAAUACGGAAGGUCCGUGCGUUAAUCGGAAUUACUGGGCGUAAAGCGCACGUAGGCGGCUAGGUCAGUUGGGUGUGAAAGCCCCGGGCUCAACCUGGGAACUGCAUCCAAUACUGCCUGGCUAGAGUACGAGAGAGGGGGGUAGAAUUUCUAGUGUAGCG